Molecule: ribosomal RNA, 487 nt
Filed under: uncultured bacterium
Lineage: Bacteria
Description: bacterial SSU rRNA
Rfam family: Bacterial small subunit ribosomal RNA
Source: RNAcentral
GGCAGGCCUAACACAUGCAAGUCGAGCGGAAACGAGUUAUCUGAACCUUCGGGGAACGAUAACGGCGUCGAGCGGCGGACGGGUGAGUAAUGCCUAGGAAAUUGCCCUGAUGUGGGGGAUAACCAUUGGAAACGAUGGCUAAUACCGCAUAAUGCCUACGGGCCAAAGAGGGGGACCUUCGGGCCUCUCGCGUCAGGAUAUGCCUAGGUGGGAUUAGCUAGUUGGUGAGGUAAUGGCUCACCAAGGCGACGAUCCCUAGCUGGUCUGAGAGGAUGAUCAGCCACACUGGAACUGAGACACGGUCCAGACUCCUACGGGAGGCAGCAGUGGGGAAUAUUGCACAAUGGGCGCAAGCCUGAUGCAGCCAUGCCGCGUGUGUGAAGAAGGCCUUCGGGUUGUAAAGCACUUUCAGUCGUGAGGAAGGUAGUGUAGUUAAUAGCUGCAUUAUUUGACGUUAGCGACAGAAGAAGCACCGGCUAACUCCGUG